This 406-nucleotide ribosomal RNA is filed under the name uncultured bacterium. RNAcentral describes it as "partial 16S ribosomal RNA". It matches the Rfam family "Bacterial small subunit ribosomal RNA", at positions 30 to 526 of the family's 1533-position model. The record is from RNAcentral.
AUUGAACGCUGGCGGCAGGCUUAACACAUGCAAGUCGAGCGAGCGGCGGACGGGUGAGUAAUGUCUGGGAAACUGCCUGAUAGAGGGGGAUACAUACUGGAAACGGUAGCUAAUACCGCAUACCAUCAGAUGUGCCCAGAUGGGAUUAGCUAGGAGGUGGGGUAAUGGCGCACCUAGUCGACGAUCCCUAGCUGGUCUGAGAGGAGGACCAUACAAACUGUAACUGAGACACGUUCCAGCCUCCUACGGGAGUCAGCAGUGGAUAAUAUUGCACAAUGGGCGCAAGCCGGAUGCAGCCAUGCCGCGUGUGUGAAGAAGGCCUUCGGUUUGUAAAGCACUUUCAGCGAGGAGGCGUUACUCGCAGAAUAAGCACCGGCUAACUCCGUGCCAGCAGCCGCGGUAAUUC